UGGAAUUCCUUAAGUAGCUCAUAUUUCACUAGAACAAAAAACUCACAACUCUAAACGUCGUGUUUUGAGAUUAUGCUUUGCUCUAGUCAUUUUGUGAUUUUGUUCAAUCAUUAAAAAAAAGUUCUACAAGAAAAUUAUGCAUUGUCCUAAAACCUUAUGUAAGGAAAAAAAAAAAAGGAAAGAAGAAAAACACCUACCAGCAAAGAAAAAUAGACAAUGUGUACAUGUUUCUUCAUCUGUAAAAUAAGAAUAAUAAAAGUGCCUAUCUCCUAGGGUUGUUAUGAGGAUUACAUGAAUUAACAUUUUUAAAGUGCUUAGAACAGUGCCUGGCUAGUGGUAAGCUACAUAACUUUAUUUAAUAAAACUGGCGCAACUGGAAUAAAGUGAACAUCAGAAAACCUGCUCUGUCCUCCUUGCAAGUAAUUAAGUACCAUGAGGUCUUUCUGGAGGCAGAGAGAAUUGAGGUACAGUGGGAGAAAUGUGUUUCCAGCAAGUCUUAGCUAAGUGUGUUAUCCCUUGGUUUAUUUUCAUUAUAUGAGUUUUUGAUUCCUGCAUACUUUGAAGUUUGCCUCAAGGGAAAAAGUUGAAUUGAGACUCUUUGUGACUAGAAUCUUUGGCCUGGAAGGUUGGCACCUUCAGCUAUUUCUCAUGCCAAGCCUUUGAGAUUCUGUUCCCGUUCCAAAAGCUGACAGGAGCUUCCUUGCAAGUUCCUCUGAAAGAAAUGAAUGAGACUAAACUCCAACAGAUUUCUGCCUUUACAG
Molecule: long non-coding RNA, 761 nt
Filed under: Homo sapiens (human)
Lineage: Eukaryota; Metazoa; Chordata; Mammalia; Primates; Hominidae
Description: HSALNT0108894
Source: RNAcentral